UACGUAGGAGGCAAACGUUAUCCGGAUUUACUGGGCGUAAAGCGCGUGUAGGUGGUUCUGUAAGUAGGGCGUGAAAGCUCCCGGCUCAACUGGGAGAGGCCGUUCUAAACUGCAGAGCUAGAGGAUGGUAGAGGGAGGUGGAAUUCCGGGUGUAGCGGUGGAAUGCGCAGAUAUCCGGAGGAACACCAGUGGCGAAGGCGACCUCCUGGGCCACUCCUGACACUCAGACGCGAAAGCUAGGGUAGCAAACGGGAUUAGAUACCCCGGUAGUCCCUGAGCGGG
This 282-nucleotide ribosomal RNA is filed under the name uncultured prokaryote. RNAcentral describes it as "partial 16S ribosomal RNA". It matches the Rfam family "Bacterial small subunit ribosomal RNA", at positions 524 to 803 of the family's 1533-position model. The record is from RNAcentral.